CCUGGUGGCGAGUGGCGAACGGGUGAGUAAUACAUCGGAACGUGUCCUGUAGUGGGGGAUAGCCCGGCGAAAGCCGGAUUAAUACCGCAUACGCUCUACGGAGGAAAGGGGGGGAUCUUAGGACCUCUCGCUACAGGGGCGGCCGAUGGCAGAUUAGCUAGUUGGUGGGGUAAAGGCCUACCAAGGCGACGAUCUGUAGCUGGUCUGAGAGGACGACCAGCCACACUGGGACUGAGACACGGCCCAGACUCCUACGGGAGGCAGCAGUGGGGAAUUUUGGACAAUGGGGGCAACCCUGAUCCAGCAAUGCCGCGUGUGUGAAGAAGGCCUUCGGGUUGUAAAGCACUUUUGUCCGGAAAGAAAACUUCUGCCCUAAUACGGCGGGAGGAUGACGGUACCGGAAGAAUAAGCACCGGCUAACUACGUGCCAGCAGCCGCGGUAAUACGUAGGGUGCAAGCGUUAAUCGGAAUUACUGGGCGUAAAGCGUGCGCAGGCGGUCCGCUAAGACAGAUGUGAAAUCCCCGGGCUUAACCUGGGAACUGCAUUUGUGACUGGCGGGCUAGAGUAUGGCAGAGGGGGGUAGAAUUCCACGUGUAGCAGUGAAAUGCGUAGAGAUGUGGAGGAAUACCGAUGGCGAAGGCAGCCCCCUGGGCCAAUACUGACGCUCAUGCACGAAAGCGUGGGGAGCAAACAGGAUUAGAUACCCUGGUAGUCCACGCCCUAAACGAUGUCAACUAGUUGUUGGGGAUUCAUUUCCUUAGUAACGAAGCUAACGCGUGAAGUUGACCGCCUGGGGAGUACGGUCGCAAGAUUAAAACUCAAAGGAAUUGACGGGGACCCGCACAAGCGGUGGAUGAUGUGGAUUAAUUCGAUGCAACGCGAAAAACCUUACCUACCCUUGACAUGUAUGGAACCUGGCUGAGAGGUCGGGGUGCCCGAAAGGGAGCCAUAACACAGGUGCUGC
RNAcentral lists this ribosomal RNA (965 nucleotides) under Paraburkholderia metrosideri. RNAcentral describes it as "bacterial SSU rRNA". It matches the Rfam family "Bacterial small subunit ribosomal RNA", at positions 84 to 1044 of the family's 1533-position model. Lineage: Bacteria; Pseudomonadati; Pseudomonadota; Betaproteobacteria; Burkholderiales; Burkholderiaceae. The record is from RNAcentral.